UUUUCGGGCAGCGCAGCGCUUGCGGCGCGCAUGGCGCCGGCGCUCUCGGCGACGGUAGGAGCAAUGAGGACGUACAGCGAGGGACCCCGCUUGCAAGCGCGCGGUCCCCGCUAUUUGUCGGGCCUCGUUGUAGACACUACGGUCAUGCCGGAAGCAGCUCGCAACUAGCCGCCGUCGGCUGAGAGAGCAGCCAGCCAUCGUAGCAUAAAAGACGGUGGCCCAAAAUUGCCGGUGAUGCUGCAGGUGACUCCUCGAGUCAGCUUCCCAAUGAAUGACGCACCGCGCCGGAGCAAAAUCAUCAUCGCAUCAGCUGGCAUUGGCAUCAUUCUGCUUGGGGUGCUCACCAGGUACCUCAGGAGACGUUUUGUUGACUUCAAAAGUGCCGUUGUCAAUGGAGAGGUGGCUAAUGUGGUGUGGUGCGGUCGGUGUCGAUGUGGACGCCGAACCAGCGGCCCCCGUGGGUCUCUGCGCGCACUACAAGGCCCCACAGCUGCGGACCGGGCAUCCAUGGCACACAUGGGACCCCAGCAGCUGGCCAGCUUGGGUCUGGACUCCCUGGACCAAGUGAUCAGCUACUGGGAGCAGGCCCUGCAGCGGAUCAGAACAGGCGGCUCCACUUCUGGCAAUGAGAGCCUGGCCACCAGCCUGGAAUUCCUGCUUGUGGAAGGCCAGCGGCUGCGCGGUGCUGCCCACUGGCGCCUGUUCGCCGAGGGAGGAGGAGUCCCUCCCCUGGCCCUGGAUGACCCGCAGCUGGCUGACUUCACCCACCCCCCCUCUCUGGCCGACACCGAGAGUUUCGUCUCGGCUGAGGGCACGUCCGAUGUAGCAGUGGUGGCUGAUCUGGAGGCCAGCCCAAUUCCCCCGGUGGAGCAGUCAGCUCUGUACAUGGAAGCAUUGGAGCUGCUCAAGAGAGAAGGCAUCCCUUGCCGGACAUACAGGGUGGAAGUGGUUCGGUGCAGCUCACGGGAAGACUACCUGGCCAAGAUCCACUGCAUACGCCUUGCAUUCAAGCGCCUAACAAAUCAGCCAGAUGUUCUCCAGUGGCUUAUAGAAGCAGCCAAUCAUAUUCUUGGAGGCUUCAUGCUGUGUGCUGGAAAAGACCCAAAGGAUGCGCUGCACGCGUACCGUGAGCUGGUUGCCUACCUGCUGGACAGCAGCCACUACGACCAAAUUGCCAAGGAGCUGCAGUACAAAGGGGUGGUGUGCCCAACAGUGUAUGAUGUCGUGAUUGACUACGUCCUCCUGGAUGCCUUUGAUGACCUGAGCAGCCCGCCGCAGUCAGUUGUGGCUGUUAUCCAGAACCGGUGGCUGACCGCAGGGUUCAAGGAAACAGCGCUGUCUGCGGCAAUUUGGUCUCUCUUCAAGGCCAAGAAGGGGCUGCUUCCCUUCUCUCAUGGCUUCUUCUCACACUACUACGCCCUGAUGGAACAAAUUGUGCCCGUGCUUGCCUGGGGCUUUCUGGGCACUGAUAAUGACCUCAAGGAUAUGUGCAAGUUUUUCAAGGCCAGCCUUCAACCUUUCCUAGCCACCCUGACUACGUGCCAGCUGUUUUCACAUACACCCGAACUUCCGGUCAGGCUGCAGCGCAGCGGCACAGUCGUUGCAUGGAUAAAGAGGCAUGUCGGCGGGAUUGAUUGCACCGUUUCUUCGAAGCACAAAGCCGUCCAGAAUACUUGAAGAUGAGCAGCACAACAGAAUUCGCCUCUACAUUGAAGGUGUUCCUCAGCAAACUAUAAGUCGCCGAGUUCGCUGAUCGAUCGGCACUGUGAAUAGGAUUCGCCAGGCAUAUCGAGAUGAGGAUGGCCGCAUUGAAGAUGCCCCUCGUUUAGGGAGACCACGAUCCACGUCGACAGAAGUAAACGAACUCGUCGUGGCAGCGGUGGUGGCUGAUCCAUUCCAGAGUGCGCGAGAAAUUCGAGCGGCCUUAUCUCUGAACAUCAGUGAGGCAACAAUCCGCUGACGCUUGCGUGAAGCUGGACCGAGCUGAUGCGUGGCUGCUCAGAAACCCUACUUAACAGAUCAGCAGAAGCGCGCUCGACUGGACUUUGUGCGAGCCCAUGAAGAAUGGUCGGUAGGUGAUUGGGGUGAGGUCAUCUUUACUGAUGAGUCGACUAUAACCUCAAGAUGGAAUCAACAGUGCCGAGUAUGGUGCCCGUACAACUGCAGGUUUUAGCCCGGGUACUUGCACAAUGUGCUCAGCAGUGAUCGCACGGCUGUGAAUGUUAGGGGAGCCAUCUGUAGAGAUGGACUGGGUUCGCUUGUGUAACUUCCAGCGAAGUUUAACGCGGCGUCCUACUGCGAUAUCCUUGACAGCUACCUCGUCCCGUUUGCCCUGGACGGGCCCUUUAAGGAUGGCUUUUACUGACUUCAGCAGGACCACAGCCCCAUCCACAAAGCCAAAGUCGUCGAAGACUUGUUAGAAGAGCGAGGAGUUCGGAAACUGCAAUGGGUGCCAAAGGGCGCGGACUUCAACAUUAUAGAAAAUGUGUGGGGAGUUCUUAAAUCCAACUUGGCACACAUGAACUUGGGUGCAACGAGCAAAGAAGAAUUGUGGCUUGCUGUUGCAGCGAAAUAGAACCGGAUUAAGCAAGACCGCGAGUUUGUGCAAUCUCUGUACGAUUCUCUGCCCCGGCGCAUGGAAGCAGCCAUUCGCGUUAACGGCAGUUUCACGCACUUCUGAACCGCAUUUGCUUUUGCACCUUGUAUUUUUUGUUCUUGUGAAACUAACUCGAUGAAAUUCUUCCUACUAAGAAAAAUAAAGAAUCCUGUUGUUACGUU
Dermacentor andersoni is the source of this 2778-nucleotide RNA transcript. It is a transcript of the gene named mitoguardin, with no coding region annotated. The record is from RefSeq and is a predicted model, not a curated record. Lineage: Eukaryota; Metazoa; Arthropoda; Arachnida; Ixodida; Ixodidae.